CACUACUGAUCUGCCUCCAUCAACAACCUCCGAGAAGUAUUUAAAGUUCAUUUCACAUUUUAUGCUUUGAUGAUUUCCCUAUUUUUAAGUGUUUCUAACCUAUUGUAUCACAGGGUUCACACUUCCUCAUCACCUACAUUAACAACAAAGGACAAAAGGAUGUUCACCACCACUGAUCUGCCUCCAACAACUGCCUCUGAGAAGAUGUACAACACCACCUCACCACCUGCAGAAACAACAGAAGGCAAAAGGAUGUUCACCACCACUGAUCUGCCUCCAUCAACAACCUCCGAGAAGGUUCACACUUCCUCAUCACCUACAUUAACAACAAAGGACAAAAGGUAUUAUUUCCUCUUUUUUUUUUUUUCAAUUUAA
Gouania willdenowi (blunt-snouted clingfish) is the source of this 375-nucleotide long non-coding RNA. NCBI's taxonomy places the organism in Eukaryota, Metazoa, Chordata, Actinopteri, Blenniiformes, Gobiesocidae. The record is from Ensembl.